AUACGUAGGUGGCGAGCGUUGUCCGGAUUUACUGGGCGUAAAGAGCGCGCAGGCGGCUGGUCAAGUCCGAUGUGAAAGCUCCCGGCUUAACUGGGAAAUUGCAUCGGAAACUGAUCGGCUGGAAGGUGGGAGAGGGUAGCGGAAUUCCCGGUGUAGUGGUGAAAUGCGUAGAUAUCGGGAGGAACACCAGUGGCGAAAGCGGCUACCUGGCCCAUUCUUGACGCUGAGGCGCGAAAGCUAGGGGAGCAAACGG
RNAcentral lists this ribosomal RNA (253 nucleotides) under uncultured prokaryote. RNAcentral describes it as "partial 16S ribosomal RNA". It matches the Rfam family "Bacterial small subunit ribosomal RNA", at positions 523 to 775 of the family's 1533-position model. The record is from RNAcentral.